RNAcentral lists this ribosomal RNA (334 nucleotides) under uncultured bacterium. RNAcentral describes it as "bacterial SSU rRNA". It matches the Rfam family "Bacterial small subunit ribosomal RNA", at positions 95 to 432 of the family's 1533-position model. The record is from RNAcentral.
GUGGCGAACGGGUGAGUAAUGUAUCGGAACGUGCCCAGUUGUGGGGGAUAACUGCUCGAAAGAGCAGCUAAUACCGCAUACGACCUGAGGGUGAAAGCGGGGGACCGUAAGGCCUCGCGCGAUUGGAGCGGCCGAUGUCAGAUUAGCUAGUUGGUGGGGUAAAGGCCUACCAAGGCAACGAUCUGUAGUUGGUCUGAGAGGACGACCAGCCACACUGGGACUGAGACACGGCCCAGACUCCUACGGGAGGCAGCAGUGGGGAAUUUUGGACAAUGGGCGCAAGCCUGAUCCAGCAAUGCCGCGUGCAGGAAGAAGGCCUUCGGGUUGUAAACUG